UGCGGAGGGAUCAUUACACAAAGAUAUGAAGGUAGGGUACUGGCAACAGUGCUCUGCUGAAAUAUUUUCACCCAUGUCUUUUGCGCACUUUUUGUUUCCUGGGCGAGUUUGCUCGCCACCAGGACCCCCAUAUGAACCUUUUUUGUUUUUGCACUCAGCGUCAGUACAAUAAUUUAAUCUAUUAAAACUUUCAACAACGGAUCUCUUGGUUCUGGCAUCGAUGAAGAACGCAGCGAAAUGCGAUACGUAGUGUGAAUUGCAGAAUUCAGUGAAUCAUCGAAUCUUUGAACGCACAUUGCGCCCUUUGGUAUUCCAAAGGGCAUGCCUGUUCGAGCGUCAUUUGUACCCUCAAGCUUUGCUUGGUGUUGGGCGUCUUAUUGUCUCUCCGUCUCGGGGAGACUCGCCUUAAAACAAUUGGCAGCCGGCCUACUGGUUUCGGAGCGCAGCACAAAUUUGCGCUUGCAAUCAGCCAAGGGCGGCAUCCAUGAAGCCUUUUUUCUCUCACAUUUUGACCUCGGAUCAGGUAGGGAUACCCGCUGAACUUAAGCAUAUCAAUAGCCGGGGAGGAA
Molecule: ribosomal RNA, 569 nt
Filed under: Exserohilum turcicum
Lineage: Eukaryota; Fungi; Ascomycota; Dothideomycetes; Pleosporales; Pleosporaceae
Description: eukaryotic LSU rRNA
Rfam family: 5.8S ribosomal RNA (bases 186-339)
Source: RNAcentral